AUUGUGGGUAAGAGGAAGCGCUGGGGCCGGCUGGCUCCCCCCACGUGUCCGCCGGAGUUUCUCCACCAGCAACAUGGCCGCCGCCUGAGAGGAGAGCCGGGCCGCCGCCGCCUCUGCAGCCCGCGGGUAACUGGGCCGUUGCCGCCGUCCGCGCUCGGCCCCCGCGGAGAGAUCGAGCUGAAGGACUGUGCGGCUGGCUCUCUAUUAUGGCCAAUGAAGAGGAUGACCCAGUUGUACAGGAGAUCGACGUGUACUUGGCCAAGAGUCUGGUGGAAAAGCUGUAUCUAUUUCAGUACCCUGUGCGUCCAGCCUCGAUGACCUACGAUGACAUUCCGCACCUCUCAGCCAAGAUCAAGCCCAAGCAGCAGAAGGUAGAGCUUGAGAUGGCCAUCGACACCCUGAACCCCAACUAUUGCCGCAGCAAAGGGGAGCAGAUCGCACUGAACGUGGACGGGGCCUGCGCCGACGAGACCAGCACGUAUUCCUCGAAGUUGAUGGACAAGCAGACCUUCUGCUCUUCCCAGACCACCAGUAACACAUCCCGUUAUGCCGCUGCACUCUACAGGCAAGGUGAGCUCCACCUGACACCUUUACAUGGCAUCCUGCAGCUGCGGCCCAGCUUCUCCUACCUGGAUAAGGCUGACGCCAAGCACCGGGAGAGGGAGGCGGCCAACGAAGCAGGGGACUCUUCACAGGAUGAGGCAGAAGACGAUGUUAAGCAGAUCACGGUGCGGUUCUCCCGGCCGGAGUCAGAGCAGGCCCGCCAGCGCCGUGUGCAGUCCUAUGAGUUCCUGCAGAAGAAGCACGCAGAGGAGCCCUGGGUCCACCUGCAUUACUAUGGCCUGAGGGACAGUCGCUCUGAGCAUGAGCGUCAGUACCUGCUGUGCCCCGGCUCGAGCGGGGUGGAGAACACGGAGCUCAUCAAGUCACCCAGUGAGUACCUGAUGAUGCUGAUGCCACCCAGCCAGGAGGAGGAGAAAGACAAGCCUGUGGCCCCCAGCAACGUCCUGUCGAUGGCCCAGCUGCGCACGCUGCCCCUGGCCGAUCAGAUCAAGAUCCUGAUGAAGAAUGUGAAGGUCAUGCCUUUUGCCAACUUGAUGAGCCUCCUGGGCCCCUCCAUCGAUUCCGUGGCUGUUCUGCGGGGCAUCCAGAAGGUGGCGAUGUUGGUCCAAGGGAACUGGGUGGUGAAGAGUGACAUCCUAUACCCCAAGGACUCGUCCAGCCCUCACAGUGGCGUGCCUGCCGAGGUGCUCUGCAGGGGCCGAGACUUCGUUAUGUGGAAGUUCACGCAGAGCCGCUGGGUGGUUAGGAAAGAGGUGGCAACCGUGACCAAACUCUGCGCUGAGGACGUGAAGGACUUCCUGGAGCACAUGGCCGUGGUGAGGAUCAACAAAGGCUGGGAGUUCAUUCUGCCUUAUGACGGGGAGUUCAUCAAGAAGCACCCGGAUGUGGUCCAGCGGCAGCACAUGCUAUGGACGGGUAUCCAGGCCAAACUGGAAAAAGUCUAUAAUCUUGUAAAGGAAACCAUGCCAAAGAAGCCGGAUGCACAAUCAGGGCCUGCCGGGCUGGUCUCUGGGGACCAGCGGAUCCAAGUAGCCAAAACCAAGGCCCAGCAGAACCACGCGUUGCUGGAGCGGGAGCUGCAGCGGCGGAAGGAGCAGCUGCGGGCGCCUGCAGUCCCACCCGGUGUGCGGAUCAAGGAGGAGCCCGUGAGCGAGGAGGGCGAGGAGGACGACGAACAGGAGGCGGAGGAGGAGGAGGAGCCCAUGGACACUUCCCCCAGCGGCCUCCACAGUAAGCUGGCCAACGGGCUGCCUCCCGGGCGGGCUGCGGGCACAGACAGCUUCAACGGACACCCACCCCAGGGCUGCGCCAGCACCCCUGUGGCUCGGGAACUGAGGGCCUUCGUGGAGGCCACCUUUCAGAGACAGUUUGUGCUCACACUAAGCGAACUCAAGCGCCUCUUCAACCUGCACUUGGCGAGCCUUCCCCCCGGCCACACGCUCUUCAGCGGCAUCUCGGACCGCAUGCUGCAGGACACGGUGCUGGCCGCCGGUUGCAAGCAGAUACUGGUGCCUUUUCCCCCACAGACUGCUGCUUCCCCAGAUGAGCAGAAGGUGUUUGCCCUCUGGGAGUCUGGAGACAUGAGUGAUCAGCAUCGACAGGUUUUGCUUGAAAUUUUUUCCAAAAAUUACCGGGUACGCCGAAACAUGAUCCAGUCUCGGUUGACUCAAGAGUGUGGAGAAGAUCUCAGUAAACAGGAGGUGGAUAAAGUACUAAAGGACUGCUGUGUAAGCUAUGGUGGCAUGUGGUACCUUAAAGGGACAGUACAGUCUUGACAAUAGUAGCAAACUACUAACCCGGCAAAUCUAAGCCCAAGGAAGAAGGGCGGAACCAGAAGUAGAGCCUCGACUUGCUUCAGACGACACAGAGCAAGAAGAACUGACCAUCUCAUGACCUGUGGCAUUGCAUGAUGCAGUGGACAGAAGGGAUUAUCCUCAGCCAGUCGCAGGGUCAGCUUUAAGUUAGAUCACUCCCAGAAGAGACCAGCUGGGACCUUUGCAGUACAAUUUGAAAUUCCUGAUGUAUUUUGCUUAUUAUUUGGUUUCAUUCUCAUAAUAAAGAGGGUGUAUACUGACAUGGGCAGGAUGAUAAAAAUCAUGGUUUAAUAUUUUCUUUUGUAAACUUAAUGGCAACAAGGUCUAAGUUAUGUUUACAACAUGAAGAAAACCUCAAAGUUUUUAAUUUUUAAAAUGCCUAGAAGACAAUAUUUAGUCUUGGAUUAUCUAUCUGCUAAGACCUCCAAUUUCAUUAAACCAAAUUGGAUUAUUCUACUCUUGGGAUUCUGUGGCCACUUUACCUUUGACAACAACCUACUUUAUGUAGCAGUCUCAACUGUUUAUAUGAACCAUAGCAAAAAAAUCAGAAUCAAAUCCAUCUCCUUUUAAUGUUUGCAGAAAGAUGCAAACAAAACCAGGAAGGCGAUCUUGUUGGGAUCAGCGUUACAUGUAUCUAGAGGGAACGGAGCUAAUGGAGGGAGACAGAGCAGGACUGUCCACUAGAAAGAGGCGAGUCACGUACGUAAUUUUGAAAGUUUCUAGCAGCCACAUUAGUUUAAAAAGGUCAUUUUAGCAUAUUAUUUAGCCCAAAAUAUCUAAAACAUCAACAUAAGAUAAAAUACUAAUAUUUUACCUUUUUUUGUACCAAGUCUUCAAAAUCUGGCAUUUUACACUUUCCUCAACACUCUCAAUUUGGACUAGCCACAUCGUAAGUGCUCAGAUGCCACAUGGGGCUAUCUGCGACAGUAUUGGACAGCACAGCCCUAGAAAUCGAUGGAAAAAAUAAGAGUAAGCUAGGUUAGGUGACGUGAAUUUUGGUAUAUAGAUAAGGCUUUUGCCAUCUUUUUUGUAUAACACAGCCACUAAUUGUCUGAAGGUUUAAAUGAUGGUCUAUGCUAUUUCUCCACUCCCCCCAAAAUAAAACAUCUAAUAUUUUAGCUAUAGAAUCACUAAGGCAUUGAUCAAGGAUGUACUUUGCCAAAUAAGUAUUUGGUAACAUCGCUUAACAAGUUGAUCGUGUGUAUUGAUUCUGUUAACAUAUGUGAACCUGAAAAGUAAAGUUACCAAAAGCGA
This is an RNA transcript of Nomascus leucogenys (northern white-cheeked gibbon), 3632 nucleotides long. It is a transcript of the gene named RNA polymerase III subunit E, with no coding region annotated. Lineage: Eukaryota; Metazoa; Chordata; Mammalia; Primates; Hylobatidae. The record is from RefSeq and is a predicted model, not a curated record.